UAAAAACAUACUAAGUAUUAUUAAUCGGCUAGCAAAGAGAAGUUAAACAUACGACAUGAACUGAAUUAACUAGUGCGCACGACUAGUUAAAAGAAACAAACUCUCUUUGACAAUAAGUUUCUAAUUAAAUCAUGGCUGCGUCUGGGCAGCGUUAUUGUGAGAGUGAAAGUGGACGUGCUGCUACUCCCCUCAUUCCCAACAUGUAUCAAGUACCUGCAUUGAGUAAUGCAAGAGUGAGAUGACACAUCUCAGCAAGUAAAAUAAUAUCAAAUUGUUUAACCACAUAAGAACAUUGUUUUACCACCACUUGAUUCCACAACUUUCUUAUUACGACGGUGCAACACGUAUACAACGUACAACACACCUAGUCACCACACCUCGCAGGUAGAAACCACAAUAGUAACAUAGUAAUGUCACACUUCAUAUAUACCUCAUGAGUGCAAAUGUCUGCAAAUGCAAGGAUGACUUCUACCUUCAUACCUCUAAGGAUAUGAAGCCGCAUCAUACCCCUCCUCGGGCAACGUACAAUUCUAAAAAUGUACUAGUACGGUCGGACCAUAAGAUCACGACAUAACUUCAAAAUGCAAGAUGGAUGAUGCGAUGUGCAUGUCAUGCCUACAACACUUCAUAUAACGUGAUUCAAAAAAGAUACUUCAACUUCAUCCAAGAUGGGAAUCAACCACAUAUAUCAUAACCAAAUUAUGAUCAUCCACAAUAUUAGACAAUUGAGAAUUAAUACUUCCAAACAAAUAAACUUCAUCAUAGAAUUCAAUGAUUAACAUAAUUAAAACUUAUGCAUACUCAAUGACAGGGAAUAGGAUGCAAAGCAAACGGUAGCAACCACCACUAUAUUUACUUGCCUUUACCGGAAGUUCGGGCAAAUCCCUAAGUACGAUCCGGAAGUCCAACACCUGUUUUUUGACACACAACUUAGUGCACCAAUUUCACAUAAUCAGGCUCAUAAACGACGCCGCACCUAUGCACAAACUCAAACCCCGCCGCGGGUUACAUCUCUCCCCACACCCACCAAACUGCAGCGGCGCUGCUUAAUAAUUUCAUAACUUUAAAAUUAUGACAGCAGUGGUAACAAACAAAAACUCUAGAGUCAUCUACAUAAAAUUCCCCACAAGUUUUGUAUACAAUUUAUAAUUAAAUUCCAACAUCUAAUUAGCCCAAAAUAGUCCACAAGAUGAACCCUGUAAUCUGUUUUUUUGUCUUUUGGACAGCGACAUACCCGGAUUCAAACAGCGAUAUCUUUUAAAAUAUAAUUCCAAAUCAAGUGCAUAAGUACUCAUUGGAAAGAUAAGACAAAGCCCUACAUGAUUAUAAUACUGGUUAACACUAAUUACCCACGAAAAAUUCCCAGAAACUGCUAAUACUACUGCUGUUCACCCACCUGAAAAAUCUGUUUCUUUUGGACAGCAACAUAACCGGAUUCAAACAACGAUAUCUGCUAAAUUAUAACUCCGAAUCGAGCGCAUAAGUACUCGUUGGAAAGGUAUGACAAAGCUCUACAUGAUUCUCCCACUGAUCCCCACUAAUUGCCCACGAAAAAUUCCCAGAAACUGCUAAUACUACUGUUGUUCACCCACCUGAAAAAUCUGUUUCUUUUGGACAGCAACAUAACCGGAUUCAAACAAAGAUAUCUUCUAAAUUAUAACUCCGAAUCGAGCGCAUAAGUACUCGUUGGAAAGGUAUGACAAAGCUCUACAUGAUUCUCCCACUGAUCCCCACUAAUUGCCCACGAAAAAUUCCCAGAAAUCCCUAGAACUACUGCUGUUCGCCCUUCCACAAAAAUUCUGGACAGCACCUCUACCGAUUCGCAUAGAUAAACAUAUAAUCAAUUGAAUUUUAGCGCAAAAACAUAGAUAACUUCAAGAUCACCUUGAGUUCCACCUUUUUCCUCCUUCCUUCCUCCCACCAAUUCUCCAAUUGAAACUUGCACCCACACGAAGAAGAUCCGACGAGGAAGAACGACACUUGGAGAAGAGGAGAUGGGGGUGGCGGCUAGGGUUGAGGAGAUGGCUGCUGCAAAAAACUUGAGAAUGGAGAGGGGGCGGCUGCAGCACUUGGGGAAGAGAGAAGAGGGAAGAGGGGGGAGGGUGACGGCCAAAGGAGGGAAG
Molecule: long non-coding RNA, 2123 nt
Filed under: Zea mays
Lineage: Eukaryota; Viridiplantae; Streptophyta; Magnoliopsida; Poales; Poaceae
Description: long non-coding RNA (ZMAY_LNC005213)
Source: RNAcentral